CCUACGGGUGACAGCAGUGAGGAAUAUUGGUCAAUGGGCGCGAGCCUGAACCAGCCAAGUAGCGUGAAGGAUGACUGCCCUACGGGUUGUAAACUUCUUUUAUAAGGGAAUAAAGUGAGGCACGUGUGCCUUGUUGUGUGUACUUUAUGAAUAAGCAUCGGCUAACUCCGUGCCAGCAGCCGCGGUAAUACGGAGGAUGCGAGCGUUAUCCGGAUUUAUUGGGGUUAAAGGGUGCGUAGAUGGGUUGUUAAGUCAGUUGUGAAAGUUUGGGGCUCAACCGUAAAAUUGCAAUUGAUACUGGCAGUCUUGAGUACAGGAGAGGUAGGCGGAAUUCGUGGUGUAGCGGUGAAAUGCUUAGAUAUCACGAAGAACUCCGAUUGCGAAGGCAGCUUACUAAACUGACACUGACAUUGAGGCUCGAAAGUGUGGGUAUCAAACAGGAUUAGAUACCCCAGUAGUC
RNAcentral lists this ribosomal RNA (460 nucleotides) under uncultured bacterium. RNAcentral describes it as "partial 16S ribosomal RNA". It matches the Rfam family "Bacterial small subunit ribosomal RNA", at positions 338 to 795 of the family's 1533-position model. The record is from RNAcentral.